RNAcentral lists this ribosomal RNA (429 nucleotides) under Gemmatimonadota bacterium. RNAcentral describes it as "Gemmatimonadetes bacterium partial 16S ribosomal RNA". It matches the Rfam family "Bacterial small subunit ribosomal RNA", at positions 355 to 776 of the family's 1533-position model. Lineage: Bacteria; Pseudomonadati; Gemmatimonadota. The record is from RNAcentral.
UAGGGAAUCUUCGGCAAUGGACGAAAGUCUGACCGAGCAACGCCGCGUGAGUGAAGAAGGUUUUCGGAUCGUAAAACUCUGUUGUUAGAGAAGAACAAGGACGUUAGUAACUGAACGUCCCCUGACGGUAUCUAACCAGAAAGCCACGGCUAACUACGUGCCAGCAGCCGCGGUAAUACGUAGGUGGCAAGCGUUGUCCGGAUUUAUUGGGCGUAAAGCGAGCGCAGGCGGUUUCUUAAGUCUGAUGUGAAAGCCCCCGGCUCAACCGGGGAGGGUCAUUGGAAACUGGGAGACUAGAGUGCAGAAGAGGAGAGUGGAAUUCCAUGUGUAGCGGUGAAAUGCGAAGAUAUAUAACGGAACACCAGUGGCGAAGGCGGCUCUCUGGACUGUAACUGACGCUGAGGCUCGAAAGCGUGGGGAGCAAACAGG